RNAcentral lists this ribosomal RNA (766 nucleotides) under Bacillus sp. CUA-781. Its description in RNAcentral is "bacterial SSU rRNA". It matches the Rfam family "Bacterial small subunit ribosomal RNA", at positions 70 to 821 of the family's 1533-position model. The record is from RNAcentral. Lineage: Bacteria; Bacillati; Bacillota; Bacilli; Caryophanales; Bacillaceae.
AGAAGGGAGCUUGCUCCCGGAUGUUAGCGGCGGACGGGUGAGUAACACGUGGGUAACCUGCCUGUAAGACUGGGAUAACUCCGGGAAACCGGAGCUAAUACCGGAUAGUUCCUUGAACCGCAUGGUUCAAGGAUGAAAGACGGUUUCGGCUGUCACUUACAGAUGGACCCGCGGCGCAUUAGCUAGUUGGUGGGGUAAUGGCUCACCAAGGCGACGAUGCGUAGCCGACCUGAGAGGGUGAUCGGCCACACUGGGACUGAGACACGGCCCAGACUCCUACGGGAGGCAGCAGUAGGGAAUCUUCCGCAAUGGACGAAAGUCUGACGGAGCAACGCCGCGUGAGUGAUGAAGGUUUUCGGAUCGUAAAGCUCUGUUGUUAGGGAAGAACAAGUGCGAGAGUAACUGCUCGCACCUUGACGGUACCUAACCAGAAAGCCACGGCUAACUACGUGCCAGCAGCCGCGGUAAUACGUAGGUGGCAAGCGUUGUCCGGAAUUAUUGGGCGUAAAGGGCUCGCAGGCGGUUUCUUAAGUCUGAUGUGAAAGCCCCCGGCUCAACCGGGGAGGGUCAUUGGAAACUGGGAAACUUGAGUGCAGAAGAGGAGAGUGGAAUUCCACGUGUAGCGGUGAAAUGCGUAGAGAUGUGGAGGAACACCAGUGGCGAAGGCGACUCUCUGGUCUGUAACUGACGCUGAGGAGCGAAAGCGUGGGGAGCGAACAGGAUUAGAUACCCUGGUAGUCCACGCCGUAAACGAUGAGUGCUAAGU